UGCGUAGGCGGAAAACUAAGUCAGUAAUGAAAUCCUGCAGCUUAACUGUAGAACUGUUAUUGAUACUGGUUUUCUUGAAUACAGUUGAGGCAGGCGGAAUGUGUAAUGUAGCGGUGAAAUGCUUAGAUAUUACACAGAACACCGAUUGCGAAGGCAGCUUGCUAAACUGUGAUUGACGCUGAGGCACGAAAGCGUGGGUAGCAAACAGGAUUAGAUACCCUGGUAGUCC
Molecule: ribosomal RNA, 229 nt
Filed under: uncultured bacterium
Lineage: Bacteria
Description: partial 16S ribosomal RNA
Rfam family: Bacterial small subunit ribosomal RNA
Source: RNAcentral